AUUGAACGCUGGCGGCAUGCCUUACACAUGCAAGUCGAACGGUAACAGGUCUUCGGAUGCUGACGAGUGGCGAACGGGUGAGUAAUACAUCGGAACGUGCCCGAUCGUGGGGGAUAACGCAGCGAAAGCUGUGCUAAUACCGCAUACGAUCUACGGAUGAAAGCGGGGGAUCGCAAGACCUCGCGCGGACGGAGCGGCCGAUGGCAGAUUAGGUAGUUGGUGGGAUAAAAGCUUACCAAGCCGACGAUCUGUAGCUGGUCUGAGAGGACGACCAGCCACACUGGGACUGAGACACGGCCCAGACUCCUACGGGAGGCAGCAGUGGGGAAUUUUGGACAAUGGGCGCAAGCCUGAUCCAGCCAUGCCGCGUGCAGGAUGAAGGCCUUCGGUUGUAAACUGCUUUGUACGGACGAAAGUACUCUCUAAUAAGGGGACGAGUGACGGUACCGUAAGAAUAAGCACCGGCUAACUACGUGCCAGCAGCCGC
Molecule: ribosomal RNA, 487 nt
Filed under: uncultured bacterium
Lineage: Bacteria
Description: bacterial SSU rRNA
Rfam family: Bacterial small subunit ribosomal RNA
Source: RNAcentral